GGGUCGGAGCCGCCGCCCCUCCCCCCCCUGAGCAGGACCCCGGCCACGUCCCGAGCGAAUUCCUGCUGGGGGAGGGGCAACGUGGGACCCCCGACCCAAAUUUUGGGAGACCCCAACCCCAAUUUUGGGACCUCGGGGAUUUUUCCCAAUUUUGGGGAUUUUUUUCCCAAUUUUUGGGAUUUUUUCCCAAUUUUUGGGGAUUUUUUCCCCAAUUUUUUGGGGAUUUUUUCCCCAAUUUUUGGGGAUUUUUUUCCCCAUUUUUGGGGAUUUUUUCCCAAUUUUUUGGGGAUUUUUUUCCCAAUUUUGGGGAUUUUUUUCCUUAUUUUUGGGGAUUUUUUUCCCCAUUUUUUGGGGAUUUUUUCCCAAUUUUUUCAGGAUUUUUUACCCAAAUUUUUGGAGAUUUUUUUCCAAUUUUUGAGGGUUUUUUUCUGAAGUUUUUGAGGAUUUUUUUCCCCAAAUUUUGGGAUUUUUUUCCCAUUUUUGGGAAUUUUUUUCCCCAUUUUGGGGGAUUUUUUCCCAAUUUUUUCAGGAUUUUUUAUCCAAUUUUUUGGAAAUUUAUUCCAAUUUUUGAGGAUUUUUUUCCCCAAAUUUUGAGGAUUUUUUUCCCAAUUUUGGGGACUUUUUCCCAAUUUUGGGGAUUUUUUUCCCAAUUUUUGGGAUUUUUUCCCCAAUUUUUUGGGGAUUUUUUUCCCCAUUUUUGGGGAUUUUUUCCCAAUUUUUGGGGAUUUUUUCCAAUUUUUGGGGAUUUUUUCCUAAUUUUUGGGGAUUUUUUCCCAAUUUUUUCAGGAUUUUUUACCCAAAUUUUUUGGGAUUUUUUCCAAUUUUUGAGGAUUUUUUUCCCCAUUUUUGGUGAUUUUUUCCCAAUUUUUUGGGGAUUUUUUUCCCCAAUUUUGGGGAUUUUUUCCCCAAUUUUUUGGGAUUUUUUUCCCCAAUUUUGGGGAUUUUUUCCCCAAUUUUUGGGGAUUUUUUUCCCAAUUUUUGGGGAUUUUUUCCCCAAUUUUUUGGGGACUUUUUUCCCAUUUUUGGAGAUUUUUUUCCAACUUUUGAGGUUUUUUUUCCCAUUUUUGGGGAUUUUUUUUCCCCAAUUUUUUGGGAUUUUUUUCCCCAAUUUUUGGGAUUUUUUUCCCAUUUUUGGGAAUUUUUUUCCCCAUUUUGGGGGAUUUUUUCCCAAUUUUUUCAGGAUUUUUUACCCAAUUUUUUGGAGAUUUAUUCCAAUUUUUGAGGAUUUUUUUCCCCAAAUUUUGAGGAUUUUUUUCCCAAUUUUGGGGAUUUUUUUCCCAAUUUUUGGGGAUUUUUUUCCCAUUUUUGGGAAUUUUUUUCCCCAUUUUGGGGGAUUUUUUCCCAAUUUUUUCAGGGCUUUUUACCCAAAUUUUAUGGGAUUUUUUCCAAUUUUUGAGGAUUUUUUUCACCAAAUUUUGGGGAUUUUUUCCCAAUUUUUGGGGUUUUUUCCCCAAUUUUGGGGGGUUUUUCCCAAUUUUGGGGAUUUUUUCCCAAAUUUUUGGGAAUUUUUUUCCCCAUUUUGGGGGAUUUUUUCCCAAUUUUUUCAGGAUUUUUUACCCAAUUUUUUCGAGAUUUUUUUCCAAUUUUGGGGGAUUUUUUCCCAAUUUUUGGGGGAUUUUUUUCCCCAUUUUUUGGGGAUUUUUUCCCAAUUUUUUCAGGAUUUUUUACCCAAAUUUUUGGAGAUUUUUUUCCAAUUUUUGAGGUUUUUUCUGAAGUUUUUGAGGAUUUUUUUUUCCCAAAUUUUGGGGAUUUUUUCCCCAAACUUUUGGAAACUUUUUCCCAAAUUUUGGGGGAUUUUUAUCCCAAAAUUCCCAGAAAAUUCAAAAAAAUUCCCAGAAAAUUCCCAAAAAUUCCCCGAAAUUCCCCAAAAUUCACAGAAAAUUCAAAAAAAUUCCCCAAAAGUCUCCAAAAUUCCCCCAAAAUUACCCAAAAUUCCCAGAAAAUUCCCCAAAAUUCCCCAAAAUUCAUAGAAAAUUAAAAAAAUUCCCAGAAAAUUC
Cyanistes caeruleus (blue tit) is the source of this 1997-nucleotide long non-coding RNA. The record is from Ensembl. NCBI's taxonomy places the organism in Eukaryota, Metazoa, Chordata, Aves, Passeriformes, Paridae.